AAAACAUUUAUUCUUCAAACUCUUUGUACAUUAUAUAUGACAUUCUAUUACUCUCUUAUUCUACUAUGGUGUCCUAUUUGUCUUCAUCUCUAUCUAGAGAUGCUCUUAUCUCUUGGCUAUUCAUUGACCAUUCUUCUGACAUUUCAAGUAUUCGCUAUACCUCACUGUUCUUGACUUGAUGUCUCAUAACUUCAAUCAACUUUGGUGCUUACCUCACUUUUAUUACGCCCCAACAUGUCUCUUGGUGACUUCAGUCAUCAUUCCUUUG
Molecule: unclassified non-coding RNA, 268 nt
Filed under: Hevea brasiliensis (rubber tree)
Lineage: Eukaryota; Viridiplantae; Streptophyta; Magnoliopsida; Malpighiales; Euphorbiaceae
Source: RNAcentral